UGCAAGUCGAACGAAGUAGCAAUACUUAGUGGCAGACGGGUGAGUAACAUGUAGGUAUCUGCCCUUUGGCCUGGAAUAACACGAGGAAACUUGUGCUAAUACCGGAUAAGUCUUUACGGAGAAAGCUUUAUGCACCAUUGGAUGAGCCUGCACUUGAUUAGUUUGUUGGUGGAGUAAUGGCCUACCAAGACUGUGAUCAAUAGCUGAUUUGAGAGGAUGAUCAGCCACAUUGGGACUGAGACACGGCCCAAACUCCUACGGGAGGCAGCAGUGGGGAAUCUUGCACAAUGGAGGAAACUCUGAUGCAGCGAUGCCGCGUGAGUGAAGAAGGCCCUUGGGUUGUAAAGCUCUUUCGUCGGGGAAGAAAAUGACUGUACCCGAAUAAGAAGGUCCGGCUAACUUCGUGCCAGCAGCCGCGGUAAUACGAAGGGACCUAGCGUAGUUCGGAAUUACUGGGCUUAAAGAGUUCGUAGGUGGUUGAAAAAGUUAGUGGUGAAAUCCCAGAGCUUAACUCUGGAACUGCCAUUAAAACUUUUCAGCUAGAGUAUGAUAGAGGAAAGCAGAAUUUCUAGUGUAGAGGUGAAAUUCGUAGAUAUUAGAAAGAAUACCAAUUGCGAAGGCAGCUUUCUGGAUCAUUACUGACACUGAGGAACGAAAGCAUGGGUAGCGAAGAGGAUUAGAUACCCUCGUAGUCCAUGCCGUAAACGAUGUGUGUUAGACGUUGGAAAUUUAUUUUCAGUGUCGCAGGGAAACCGAUAAACACACCGCCUGGGGAGUACGACCGCAAGGUUAAAACUCAAAUGAAUUGACGGGGACCCGCACAAGUAGUGGAGCAUGUGGUUUAAUUCGAAGAUACGCGCAGAACCUUACCAACACUUGACAUGUUCGUCGCGACUCUA
Molecule: ribosomal RNA, 899 nt
Filed under: uncultured marine bacterium
Lineage: Bacteria
Description: bacterial SSU rRNA
Rfam family: Bacterial small subunit ribosomal RNA
Source: RNAcentral